GAUCCCCAUAGGCUGGUUCUAGGGAUGAUACGCCAUGGAACUGGAACCGGUCCAGAUCCUAACGGAAGCAGCAUUGGGAAUUUGCACAAUUGGGCGCAAGCUUGAUGCAGCCAUGGCGCUGUAUGAAAGAAGCUCGGUGUAAAGCACUUCAGUCGUGAGGAGUAGUGUAGUAUAGCUGCAUCAUUGACGUAGCGACAGAGAGCACGCUACUCGUGCAGCAGCGCGUAUACGAGGGUGCGAGCGUAUCGGAAUUACUGGGCGUAAAGCGCAUGCAGGUGGUUGUUAAGUCAGAUGUGAAAGCCCGGGGCUCAACCUCGGAAUAGCAUUGAAACUGGCAGACUAGAGUACUGUAGAGGGGGGUAGAAUUCAGGUGUAGCGGUGAAAUGCGUAGAGAUCUGAAGGAAUACCGGUGGCGAAGGGCGGCCCCCUGGACAGAUACUGACACUCAGAUGCGAAAGCGUGGGGAGCAAACAGGAUUAGAUACCCUGGUAGUCCACGCCGUAAACGAUGUCUACUUGGAGGUUGUGGCCUGAGCCGUGGCUUUCGGAGCUAACGCGUUAAGUAGACCGCCUGGGGAGUACGGUCGCAAGAUUAAAACUCAAAUGAAUUGACGGGGGCCCGCACAAGCGGUGGAGCAUGUGGUUUAAUUCGAUGCAACGCGAAGAACCUUACCUACUCUUGACAUCCAGAGAACUUUCCAGAGAUGGAUUGGUGCCUUCGGGAACUCUGAGACAGGUGCUGCAUGGCUGUCGUCAGCUCGUGUUGUGAAAUGUUGGGUUAAGUCCCGCAACGAGCGCAACCCUUAUCCUUGUUUGCCAGCGAGUAAUGUCGGGAACUCCAGGGAGACUGCCGGUGAUAAACCGGAGGAAGGUGGGGACGACGUCAAGUCAUCAUGGCCCUUACGAGUAGGGCUACACACGUGCUACAAUGGCGCAUACAGAGGGCGGCCAACUUGCGAAAGUGAGCGAAUCCCAAAAAGUGCGUCGUAGUCCGGAUUGGAGUCUGCAACUCGACUCCAUGAAGUCGGAAUCGCUAGUAAUCGUGGAUCAGAAUGCCACGGUGAAUACGUUCCCGGGCCUUGUACACACCGCCCGUCACACCAUGGGAGUGGGCUGCUAAAAGAAGUAGUGUAGUUUAACCUUCGGGGGGACGCUACCA
Molecule: ribosomal RNA, 1158 nt
Filed under: Vibrio alginolyticus
Lineage: Bacteria; Pseudomonadati; Pseudomonadota; Gammaproteobacteria; Vibrionales; Vibrionaceae
Description: bacterial SSU rRNA
Rfam family: Bacterial small subunit ribosomal RNA
Source: RNAcentral